This 208-nucleotide unclassified non-coding RNA is filed under the name Glomeraceae sp. Its description in RNAcentral is "partial contains 5.8S ribosomal RNA and internal transcribed spacer 2". The stretch from base 1 to 71 matches the Rfam family "5.8S ribosomal RNA", at positions 84 to 154 of the family's 154-position model. The record is from RNAcentral. Lineage: Eukaryota; Fungi; Glomeromycota; Glomeromycetes; Glomerales; Glomeraceae.
GUGAAUCAUCGAAUUUUUGAACGCAAAUUGCGCUUCCUGGCAUCCCGGGAAGUAUGCCUGUUUGAGGGUCAGUAUUAAUAAAAAAUCGGUUAAGUUACAAAUUGUGACGUUUCCGGUGUUUGGGUUAUCUUAACAUUUUGGGGUAAAAUCUUGAAAAUUGACCUUUUAUGCGCUUUUUUAAACUUAGACAAAUUUUUUUGUUUUGUCU